GUGCUUGUUUUGGCAGCACAUAUACUAAAAUUAGAAAGAUACAGAGAAGAUUAGCAUGGCCCCUGAGCAAGAAUGACAAGCAAAUUCAUGAAGUGUACCAUUUUUUU
Small nuclear RNA from Myotis lucifugus (little brown bat), 107 nucleotides. NCBI's taxonomy places the organism in Eukaryota, Metazoa, Chordata, Mammalia, Chiroptera, Vespertilionidae. The record is from Ensembl.